UGGGGAAUAUUGCACAAUGGGCGCAAGCCUGAUGCAGCCAUGCCGCGUGUAUGAAGAAGGCCUUCGGGUUGUAAAGUACUUUCAGUCGGGAGGAAGGUGGUAAGGUUAAUAACCUUAUCAAUUGACGUUACCGACAGAAGAAGCACCGGCUAACUCCGUGCCAGCAGCCGCGGUAAUACGGAGGGUGCAAGCGUUAAUCGGAAUUACUGGGCGUAAAGCGCACGCAGGCGGUUGAUUGAGUCAGAUGUGAAAUCCCCGGGCUUAACCCGGGAAUUGCAUCUGAGACUGGUCAGCUAGAGUCUUGUAGAGGGGGGUAGAAUUCCAUGUGUAGCGGUGAAAUGCGUAGAGAUGUGGGGGAAUACCGGUGGCGAAGGCGGCCCCCUGGACAAAGACUGACGCUCAGGUGCGAAAGCGUGGGGAGCAAACAGG
Molecule: ribosomal RNA, 429 nt
Filed under: Chloroflexota bacterium
Lineage: Bacteria; Bacillati; Chloroflexota
Description: Chloroflexi bacterium partial 16S ribosomal RNA
Rfam family: Bacterial small subunit ribosomal RNA
Source: RNAcentral